Molecule: ribosomal RNA, 882 nt
Filed under: Corallococcus sp.
Lineage: Bacteria; Pseudomonadati; Myxococcota; Myxococcia; Myxococcales; Myxococcaceae
Description: bacterial SSU rRNA
Rfam family: Bacterial small subunit ribosomal RNA
Source: RNAcentral
AUGGCUCAGAACGAACGCUGGCGGCGUGCCUAACACAUGCAAGUCGAGCGCGAAUGGGGAAACCCUAGUAGAGCGGCGCACGGGUGCGUAACACGUGGAUAAUCUGCCUGGAUGCCUGGGAUAACCAGUCGAAAGAUUGGCUAAUACCGGAUAAGCCCACGGCCUCUUCGGAGACUGAGGGAAAAGGUGGCCUCUGUAUACAAGCUAUCACAACCAGAUGAGUCCGCGGCCCAUCAGCUAGUUGGCGGGGUAAUGGCCCACCAAGGCAACGACGGGUAGCUGGUCUGAGAGGACGAUCAGCCACACUGGAACUGAGACACGGUCCAGACUCCUACGGGAGGCAGCAGUGGGGAAUUUUGCGCAAUGGGCGAAAGCCUGACGCAGCAACGCCGCGUGUGUGAUGAAGGUCUUUGGAUUGUAAAGCACUUUCGACCGGGACGAAAACCCGGAGGCUAACAUCCUCCGGCUUGACGGUACCGGGAGAAGAAGCACCGGCUAACUCUGUGCCAGCAGCCGCGGUAAUACAGAGGGUGCAAGCGUUGUUCGGAAUUAUUGGGCGUAAAGCGCGUGUAGGCGGCUUUGCAAGUCGGGUGUGAAAGCCCUCAGCUCAACUGAGGAAGUGCGCCCGAAACUGCAGAGCUUGAGUGCCGGAGAGGGUGGCGGAAUUCCCCAAGUAGAGGUGAAAUUCGUAGAUAUGGGGAGGAACACCGGUGGCGAAGGCGGCCACCUGGACGGUAACUGACGCUGAGACGCGAAAGCGUGGGUAGCAAACAGGAUUAGAUACCCUGGUAGUCCACGCCGUAAACGAUGAGAACUAGGUGUCGUGGGAGUUGACCCCCGCGGUGCCGUAGCUAACGCAUUAAGUUCUCCGCCUGGGAAGUA